GAUUCAUUUUCUCAGGUAACGUAGCUAACGCGUGGAAGUUGACCGCCUGGGGAGUACGGUCGCAAGAUUAAAACUCAAAGGAAUUGACGGGGACCCGCACAAGCGGUGGAUGAUGUGGAUUAAUUCGAUGCAACGCGAAAAACCUUACCUACCCUUGACAUGCCACUAACGAAGCAGAGAUGCAUUAGGUGCCCGAAAGGGAAAGUGGACACAGGUGCUGCAUGGCUGUCGUCAGCUCGUGUCGUGAGAUGUUGGGUUAAGUCCCGCAACGAGCGCAACCCUUGUCUCUAGUUGCUACGCAAGAGCACUCUAGAGAGACUGCCGGUGACAAACCGGAGGAAGGUGGGGAUGACGUCAAGUCCUCAUGGCCCUUAUGGGUAGGGCUUCACACGUCAUACAAUGGUGCGUACAGAGGGUUGCCAACCCGCGAGGGGGAGCUAAUCCCAGAAAACGCAUCGUAGUCCGGAUCGUAGUCUGCAACUCGACUACGUGAAGCUGGAAUCGCUAGUAAUCGCGGAUCAGCAUGCCGCGGUGAAUACGUU
RNAcentral lists this ribosomal RNA (542 nucleotides) under uncultured bacterium. Its description in RNAcentral is "bacterial SSU rRNA". It matches the Rfam family "Bacterial small subunit ribosomal RNA", at positions 828 to 1372 of the family's 1533-position model. The record is from RNAcentral.